This 230-nucleotide ribosomal RNA is filed under the name uncultured bacterium. RNAcentral's name for it is "partial 16S ribosomal RNA". It matches the Rfam family "Bacterial small subunit ribosomal RNA", at positions 15 to 240 of the family's 1533-position model. The record is from RNAcentral.
GAUCAUGGCUCAGGACGAACGCUGGCGGCGCGCCUAACACAUGCAAGUCGAACGAGAGAGAGGGAGCUUGCUUCCUCAAUCGAGUGGCGAACGGGUGAGUAACGCGUGAGGAACCUGCCUCAAAGAGGGGGACAACAGUUGGAAACGGCUGCUAAUACCGCAUAAGCCCACAGCUCGGCAUCGAGCAGAGGGAAAAGGAGCAAUCCGCUUUGAGAUGGCCUCGCGUCCGA